UUUCGACCUCCUAUAUAAAUCUAAACCUUCUCUUCAGUCCUGGUGGCACACCCAUUUUCCAACAUGUUUUUCUCUCUCGUCCGACCCCCGUUUGCCAAGCUGAGACCACCAACAUGCUCAUGGAAGAGAGACGAACCAGCCACCGUACCCAAUUCUUCUCUCACGAGAAUCGCCACCGCGUGCACUGCCGCAUCUUCAUCUUCACAGCCGGUCCUGUUCUGGAAAGUAUUCAAAAUUGCUUUUUUAGAGUCUCUGUGACUCUUGUUGGAUGUCUGGAUCUUGAUGGUGAGGUCCAGAAAGAAAGAUUCAAGCUAGAGAGGAGGGAACAUGGUCUUUCUCUUCUCGACCACCGUGACUACAACCUUCAUGGUGUGUAGUUUUCUUCCCCUGACUCUGAGCAUGUGGUUCACAGAUUGUGUGAAGCUUAUAAGUGACUAAAGUUUAAGGGUAAGGGUAGGGGAAACCAAGCUAUGGUUUUUAUAAUGAGAACUUGGAUUAUUAUGGUUUGACAACCUUGAACUAUGAUAUUCUCAUGAAAAUAAUAACGUAAGUUUAUGUUGUGGUGGAGAAAUCUUAAGAAGAUAUAUGAUCUUGAUGAUGUCUGAUCGAGGAUAUGUGACGUUGAUGAGUCAUGUGAAUUCUGAGAUUUUUCAAAUGUAUAUAUGUAUGUUUAUGUGGUUUAUGAUUUGGAUUAUCUUAAUGUCUUAUGGAUUUACCUUGGCUUCAUGAGUAAGGUAAUGUUUAUGGAUAAGCAUUGGCUCCAUGAGCAAGCUUACAUGCAAUGUGUCUUUCUGACUCUAUGAACAGAGACGUUUUUUGAUAAAUGUUCCCUGGGUCUGUGAGCAAGGAUAUGCACAAUUUAUUUCCUCUUGGCUCUGUGAGCAAAGAUGAUUCUAAUGAAUUGUCUUGGUCCUGUGGACAAGAUUUGCUUUGGCCCCGUGAGCAAAGUCAUUGGUUCUUAUGAUUGAUUACCAUGGAUAUUUUGGUGGAACUGAUCAUGAUAUGUCUUCUUAUGUGUAGCUCAUUUAUGUUAUGUUAUUCCCUAAAGGGAUUGUGUUGAAUUGCUUCUCACCCCUUUGUUGUUUGUUUUGUUGUUUUCUCCUCUUCUAUCGAUGUCGGGCAUACUAUGAAGAUGGAGAUUGUGCUGCUGAGAGACGUGGGGCAUGACUUUAGGUGUAGAUUGAAUUUUGUGUGCCAAAGCUAUUAAGUCGUGGAAGCUAUCAGUGGUCUCAUCCAGCAGCAGCUAGGUGCUCCUCCUCCUUCAGCAGGUGGUGCUCCUCCUCCUCCAGCAACAACAGGUGCGUGGUGAGGCAGUAGUGACCUAUACCUGUAGUACAACCACAACGCCCCCAUCAGAAUUAGUAACAAGGCUACUGCUAGGGUGAUGCUAACCAUAGGGAGCCACAACCACAUUUUGUGGUGGUGGCCACCGCCUCGGCUCAGGUCUGGAUUUUCGAAUGUGGUUGUAGGGAAAUUGGUUGAUGACAGGAGGAAGUGGUGCUAGGGCCAACAUUAGGAGAGAUUCUGUUAGAAGAACAAGAAGACGGUAGUUUCUCUGGUAAUUCAAGACUUCUGUAUCAGAAUGUAAUACCACAUAAACAAAUAUUUAAAUUAUAGUUCUAGUUGUCAAAGAUAAUACAGCUAUAAAUCAAAACAUUGAAUAACAUUCGUUGAAUUCCAACAAGCAAAAAUAAAAUUAUCAAGAAUUAUAGGUCAAAAAGGCAAGUACAUUCUUGUAAUGACUUUUCAAGUUAAUAGAGUAA
This is a long non-coding RNA of Lotus japonicus, 1763 nucleotides long. RefSeq lists it as uncharacterized. The transcript is spliced from 3 exons. Lineage: Eukaryota; Viridiplantae; Streptophyta; Magnoliopsida; Fabales; Fabaceae. The record is from RefSeq and is a predicted model, not a curated record.